This 72-nucleotide transfer RNA is filed under the name Capra hircus (goat). It matches the Rfam family "tRNA". From Rfam's summary of the family: Transfer RNA (tRNA) molecules are approximately 80 nucleotides in length. Their secondary structure includes four short double-helical elements and three loops (D, anti-codon, and T loops). The record is from Rfam by way of RNAcentral. Lineage: Eukaryota; Metazoa; Chordata; Mammalia; Artiodactyla; Bovidae. RNAcentral also lists the same sequence under 1 other name.
UCCCUUGUGGCUCAGCUGGUAAAGAAUCCGCCUGCAAUGCAGGAGGCCUGGGUUCAAUCCCUGGCUUGGGAA